This is a small nucleolar RNA of Brassica oleracea var. oleracea, 108 nucleotides long. It matches the Rfam family "Plant small nucleolar RNA R71". Rfam says of the family: R71 is a member of the C/D box family of snoRNAs containing the C (UGAUGA) and D (CUGA) box motifs. The record is from Rfam. Lineage: Eukaryota; Viridiplantae; Streptophyta; Magnoliopsida; Brassicales; Brassicaceae.
AAUCCGUGGUGUGGACAGUCUCUCUGGUAAGACUUGAAUCUGAUCCAAGAGCCUCUGAAUGAUUCUACAGGCUCCUGAGUGAAUGUAGCAAUCUUGCUCUUCGAGUCU